RNAcentral lists this long non-coding RNA (501 nucleotides) under Homo sapiens (human). RNAcentral describes it as "non-protein coding lnc-ASCC3-2:1". Lineage: Eukaryota; Metazoa; Chordata; Mammalia; Primates; Hominidae. The record is from RNAcentral.
UUUUUCUCUUAUGUGACCUCACUUCUUGAAUCCUCCAUGCUCUUCUCCAAUGUAUACUGCUUGCUCUCUAGACUUGCUGCACAGCCAUCCUGCAGAGAUUUGUCCUUACCUUUCUCUAGCAUCAGCAUAACUUUUUGUCCUUAUUUUGUUGGAUUGUAUGGCCUAGUGACAUUCCAAAAGAUCACCCAGGAACUUUGGGGAUUUCUUCUUCUUCAUAAUUUUUAUUUGUGGCAUUACAUGAUAAUAUCUCCAGGCAUGAGUUUUUUAAUCUAUUUUUCAAUACCCUGAGUCUACUCAAAUCUGAAUAGUUAUUUUCUUCUCUGCUCUAACUUCGAUUUUAUCUCCAGUACUUCUCUUGAGUUUUUAAGUUAACAAAUUUUUAAUGUCUGGUAGCUCUUUUUGUUCUAUCAUUGCUCCUUUUUCAAAGUAUCUUAUUCAUAUCUUGUAGACAUAAUAUGUUCUGAAUUCCAUAUUAAUUCGGGUGCUUCUUUAAAAUCUUUU